CGGAGCUUGCUCUGGUGGCGAGUGGCGAACGGGUGAGUAAUAUAUCGGAACGUACCCAAGAGUGGGGGAUAACGUAGCGAAAGUUACGCUAAUACCGCAUACGAUCUAAGGAUGAAAGCAGGGGACCUUCGGGCCUUGUGCUCCUGGAGCGGCCGAUAUCUGAUUAGCUAGUUGGUGAGGUAAAGGCUCACCAAGGCAUCGAUCAGUAGCUGGUCUGAGAGGACGACCAGCCACACUGGAACUGAGACACGGUCCAGA
Molecule: ribosomal RNA, 258 nt
Filed under: Duganella fentianensis
Lineage: Bacteria; Pseudomonadati; Pseudomonadota; Betaproteobacteria; Burkholderiales; Oxalobacteraceae
Description: Bacterial small subunit ribosomal RNA
Rfam family: Bacterial small subunit ribosomal RNA
Source: Rfam by way of RNAcentral